CCCUACGGCCCUGGUCUGAAACCCUAUUCCAACAGGUCCCUACGGCCCUGGUCUGAAACCCUAUUCCAACAGGUCCCUACGGCCCUGGUCUGAAACCCUAUUCCAAUAGGUCCCUACGGCCCUGGUCUGAAACCCUAUUCCAACAGGUCCCUACGGCCCUGGUCUGAAACCCUAUUCCAACAGGUCCCUACGGCCCUGGUCUGAAACCCUAUUCCAAUAGGUCCCUACGGCCCUGGUCUAAAGUAGUGCACUGGGCCCUGGUCUAAAGUAGUGCACUGGGUAUUGGGACAGAGAGGCCAGUCAUCAGGUUGGGUAUUGGGACAGAGAGGCCAGUCAUCAGGUUGGGUAUUGGGACAGAGAGGCCAGUCAUCAGGUUGGGUAUUGGGACAGAGAGGCCAGUCAUCAGGUUGGGUAUUGGGACAGAGAGGCCAGUCAUCAGGUUGGGUAUUGGGACAGAGAGGCCAGUCAUCAGGUUGGGUAUUGGGACAGAGAGGCCAGUCAUCAGGUUGGGUAUUGGGACAGAGAGGCCAGUCAUCAGGUUGGGUAUUGGGACAGAGAGGCCAGUCAUCAGGUUGGGUAUUGGGACAGAGAGGUCAGUCAUCAGGUUGGGUAAUGGGACAGAGAGGCCAGUCAUCAGGUCGGGUAAUGGGACAGAGAGGUCAGUCAUCAGGUUGGGUAUUGGGACAGAGAGGUCAGUCAUCAGGUUGAGUAUUGGGACAGAGAGGCCAGUCAUCAGGUUGGGUAUUGGGACAGAGAGGCCAGUCAUCAGGUUGGGUAUUGGGACAGAGAGGCCAGUCAUCAGGUUGGGUAAUGGGACAGGGAGGCCAGUCAUCAGGUUGGGUAAUGGGACAGAGAGGCCAGUCAUCAGGUUUGCUAUACCAGAUACCAGUGUAUCUGCAGAGUGUAAACUGUAGAACAAACCGCAAUGGUAAAGAAACCCA
Molecule: long non-coding RNA, 941 nt
Organism: Oncorhynchus keta (chum salmon)
Lineage: Eukaryota; Metazoa; Chordata; Actinopteri; Salmoniformes; Salmonidae
Exons: 6
Source: RefSeq, a predicted model, not a curated record